Molecule: non-coding RNA, 73 nt
Organism: Amoeboaphelidium occidentale
Lineage: Eukaryota; Fungi; Aphelidiomycota; Aphelidea
Source: the annotation of a GenBank genome assembly
GCUCUGUUGGCGCAGCUGGCAGCGCGUAGGUCUCAUAAUCCUGAGGUCGUGAGUUCGAACCUCACACAGAGCA